Python bivittatus (Burmese python) is the source of this 807-nucleotide long non-coding RNA. RefSeq lists it as uncharacterized. The record is from RefSeq and is a predicted model, not a curated record. NCBI's taxonomy places the organism in Eukaryota, Metazoa, Chordata, Lepidosauria, Squamata, Pythonidae.
AACACAGGAAACCCCAGCUCGGUAGGGUGGUGAACUUAGAACGCUCCCUUCUAAAGUUCUAGUCAAUUUCACCGGAGAGCGAUCUCUCCUGGAAUCCCGGCUGAUCACCUUUUCUAAGAAUUCCUAGGGGGCAGGCAUUCCUUUGCACCUUUCCAGGAACACUAGUCUCUUCCCUAUAAAAGGAACUCCUGGGGAAGCUCCAGCGGCCUGGACAGCUGAUUGUCUUGUGUAUCAGGCUCUGGGAAAUAAACUCUUCUCUCUCCUUCAAGGAACUGCCUGCGUGUUUAUUCCCAGCUUGGAGACGAACCUGAUAAGCUUUCUUCUAACAGAACCACAGGAAUCCUGAACUGGAGUUGGGGCACCUGGAUCUUGGGGAGUAGAUUGGUGGAUAGGUCUCUUCCUUUGGAGCUGCUUCUAGGUGAAGAAAUGUCCUGUGUCCAUGUUCCCCCCUCUGCUUCCCUCCCAUGCCUAUUCACAAAUCCUGCAGAAUACUAACGGCAUUUCCAGUUUUCAGAAGAGGCGUGUUGCAGAAAAGGGAAGUGUUUGCAGAAGGGACUGCUGUCAGCCAAAGGCAGCCCUACGUAAAAGCUCAUUAUAAAUAGUCUGGCAAGGAAGCAAGUGCAUGGAUGACUUAGACCAGGCCCAGCUGCUCCAGGGCCCCUUAUAACAUUUCUGACUGGUGCAUUGAUGGUAGCUGGCACAUCUGCUCACUGUUGUGGUGACUACGUCAGCAGCAGGAGAAAUGGGAGCAACAUUUCUGUCACUGAUACUAAAAUGAUCAAGAUUUUAUGGCUGUGAAUAAAAUAU